ACCAUCACGCGCUUCUUUCUCUAUCUCCAGUUUUGGGAAGUCAUCAGCGACGAGCACGGCAUCGACCCCACUGGCAGUUACCAUGGCGACAGUGACUUGCAGCUGGAGAGAAUCAACGUGUACUACAACGAGGCUGCUGGUAACAAGUAUGUGCCUCGGGCCAUCCUCGUGGACCUGGAGCCGGGCACCAUGGACUCCGUCAGGUCUGGACCCUUUGGCCAGAUCUUCAGGCCUGACAACUUCGUGUUUGGCCAGAGCGGCGCCGGGAACAACUGGGCCAAGGGCCACUACACAGAAGGCGCCGAGCUGGUGGACUCCGUCCUGGACGUGGUCAGGAAGGAGUCCGAGAGCUGUGACUGUCUGCAGGGCUUCCAGCUGACCCACUCGCUGGGGGGCGGCACCGGGUCUGGGAUGGGGACCCUCCUCAUUAGUAAGAUCCGCGAGGAGUACCCCGACCGCAUCAUGAACACCUUCAGUGUCAUGCCCUCGCCCAAGGUGUCGGACACGGUGGUCGAGCCCUACAACGCCACCCUGUCCGUGCACCAGCUGGUAGAGAACACGGAUGAGACCUACUCGAUCGACAACGAGGCGCUGUAUGACAUCUGCUUCCGCACCCUGAAACUGACCACCCCCACCUACGGGGACCUCAACCACCUGGUGUCGGCCACCAUGAGCGGGGUCACCACCUGCCUGCGCUUCCCGGGCCAGCUCAACGCCGACCUGCGCAAGCUGGCCGUGAACAUGGUCCCUGCAGUUCACGGCCAUGUUCCGGCGCAAGGCCUUCCUGCACUGGUACACGGGCGAGGGCAUGGACGAGAUGGAGUUCACCGAGGCCGAGAGCAACAUGAACGACCUGGUGUCCGAGUACCAGCAAUACCAGGACGCCACGGCCGACGAGCAGGGCGAGUUCGAGGAGGAGGAGGGCGAGGACGAGGCCUGAGCCGGGCGGAGGCGCCGCGGGGGCCGAGGGGCGGGGGGCUCACAGGAGGAGGAGGCCGAGGACGAGGCCUGAGAACGUGUCAGAUGGACCGUGUGUCCUUAGCGACUUCUGUUGUCCUCGAUCAGGCAUGGUCUCUCUAUUCGUAGGCUAUGGUGCUCAGUUUUGCCUCUGUCAGAAAUUCACUGUUGAUGUAAUAAUGUGGAACUCCUCUGGAAGUUGCAGUAUUGUCUAAGAUAUCUAUACUAAUAAAAAAGCAUGUGUCCAAAA
This is a non-coding RNA of Odocoileus virginianus texanus, 1207 nucleotides long. Lineage: Eukaryota; Metazoa; Chordata; Mammalia; Artiodactyla; Cervidae. The record is from RefSeq and is a predicted model, not a curated record.